Molecule: unclassified non-coding RNA, 308 nt
Filed under: plant metagenome
Description: partial contains 5.8S ribosomal RNA, internal transcribed spacer 2, and large subunit ribosomal RNA
Rfam family: 5.8S ribosomal RNA (bases 1-105)
Source: RNAcentral
GAAAUGCGAUAAGUAGUGUGAAUUGCAGAAUUCAGUGAAUCAUCGAAUCUUUGAACGCACAUUGCGUCCUUUGGUAUUCCAAAGGGCAUGCCUGUUCGAGCGUCAUUUGUACCCUCAAGCUUUGCUUGGUGUUGGGCGUCUUGUCUCUAGCUUUGCUGGAGACUCGCCUUAAAGUAAUUGGCAGCCGGCCUACUGGUUUCGGAGCGCAGCACAAGUCGCACUCUCUAUCAGCAAAGGUCUAGCAUCCAUUAAGCCUUUUUUUCAACUUUUGACCUCGGAUCAGGUAGGGAUACCCGCUGAACUUAAGC